GACGAACGCUGGCGGCGUGCUUAACACAUGCAAGUCGAACGGAAAGGCCCUGCUUUUGUGGGGUGCUCGAGUGGCGAACGGGUGAGUUACACGUGAGUAACCUGCCCUGGACUUUGGGAUAACUUCAGGCAACUGGGGCUAAUACCGGAUAGGAGCUCCUGCUGCAUGGUGGGGGUUGGAAAGUUUCGGCGGUUGGGGAUGGACUCGCGGCUUAUCAGCUUGUUGGUGGGGUAGUGGCUUACCAAGGCUUUGACGGGUAGCCGGCCUGCGAGGGUGACCGGCCACAUUAGGACUGAGAUACGGCACAGACUCCUACGGGAGGCAGCAGUGGGGAAUAUUGCACAGUGGGCGGAAGCCUGAUGCAGCAACGCCGGGUGCGGGAUGAAGGCCUUCGGGUUGUAAACCGCAUUCGCCUGUGACGAAGCGUGAGUGACGGUACUGGGUAAAGAAGCACCGGCUAACUACGUG
RNAcentral lists this ribosomal RNA (468 nucleotides) under uncultured bacterium. RNAcentral's name for it is "partial 16S ribosomal RNA". It matches the Rfam family "Bacterial small subunit ribosomal RNA", at positions 28 to 507 of the family's 1533-position model. The record is from RNAcentral.